Non-coding RNA from Arachis ipaensis, 242 nucleotides. The record is from RefSeq and is a predicted model, not a curated record. NCBI's taxonomy places the organism in Eukaryota, Viridiplantae, Streptophyta, Magnoliopsida, Fabales, Fabaceae.
CACUACAUAUGAUUUCAACCUUCUUGGAAAGACAUGUUUAUGCAAACCUGAGUGGGUUUGGCGUGGAGAAACAUUCAUGGCAAAGAAAAUUGAAUAUUAUCAUAUAAAGAAGCAGAUUGAGUCUGAUUUUGUUGAUGGUGCUAAUGUGAGGUUAUCAAAAUCUUUUCUUGACCUGCCCAAGGUAGAGCAACAAUAAAAGCUGAAAUACCGUUUAAAGAAAUACUGCCAGAAGGUUGGUAUUU